RNAcentral lists this ribosomal RNA (581 nucleotides) under Fulgidea oligospora. Its description in RNAcentral is "eukaryotic LSU rRNA". It matches the Rfam family "Eukaryotic large subunit ribosomal RNA", at positions 65 to 661 of the family's 3401-position model. The record is from RNAcentral. Lineage: Eukaryota; Fungi; Ascomycota; Lecanoromycetes; Umbilicariales; Umbilicariaceae.
CCAACAGGGAUUGCCUCAGUAACGGCGAGUGAAGCGGCAACAGCUCAAAUUUGAAAUCUGGCUCUUCCGGAGUCCGAGUUGUAAUUUGUAGAGGAUGUUUCGGGUGCGGCGCCGGUCUAAGUUCCUUGGAACAGGACGUCAUAGAGGGUGAGAAUCCCGUAUGUGACUGGCGAUCAAGCUCAUGUGAAGCUCCUUCGACGAGUCGAGUUGUUUGGGAAUGCAGCUCUAAAUGGGUGGUAAAUUUCAUCUAAAGCUAAAUACUGGCCAGAGACCGAUAGCGCACAAGUAGAGUGAUCGAAAGAUGAAAAGCACUUUGGAAAGAGAGUUAAAAAGUACGUGAAAUUGUUGAAAGGGAAGCGCUUGCAACCAGACUUGCUCGCGGGUGAUCAGCCAUGGUUUUCCACGGUGCACUCACCCGUGAUCAGGCCAGCAUCGGUUUGGGCGGUUGGAUAAAGGCCCCGGGAAUGUAGCUUCCUCCGGGGAGUGUUAUAGCCCGGGGUGCAAUGCAGCCAGCCUGGACCGAGGACCGCGCUUCGGCUAGGAUGCUGGCGUAAUGGUUGUAAGCGACCCGUCUUGAAACA